RNAcentral lists this ribosomal RNA (275 nucleotides) under uncultured bacterium. RNAcentral describes it as "partial 16S ribosomal RNA". It matches the Rfam family "Bacterial small subunit ribosomal RNA", at positions 399 to 691 of the family's 1533-position model. The record is from RNAcentral.
GCGUGAGUGAUGAAGGCCUUAGGGUUGUAAAGCUCUUUUACCAGGGAUGAUAAUGACAGUACCUGGAGAAUAAGCCCCGGCAAACUUCGUGCCAGCAGCCGCGGUAAUACGAAGGGGGCUAGCGUUGUUCGGAUUUACUGGGCGUAAAGCGCGCGUAGGUGGAUCGUUAAGUGAGGGGUGAAAUCCCGAGGCUCAACCUCGGAACUGCCCUUCAUACUGGCGAUCUCGAGUUCGGAAGAGGUGAGUGGAAUUCCUAGUGUAGCAGUGAAAUGCGU